CCCGCUAAGUCGAACACCCAAAGAGGCGACUAAGGCAAAAAUUAGGCUAAUAUCGAUGGAAGAAAAGCUUCAAAAAGUGGUCCAUGAAAAAAAUAGGGGUAAAAAAGAAAAAAAAAUCAAAAGAGGUCGUGUUAAUCCUCAACAAAGAAGAACAAGAUUUGAUGACCACCAUAUCAUGAAUCAAAGGGUCAUCGGCAUCCACAAUAAAAUCAAAAUAAG
This 219-nucleotide long non-coding RNA is filed under the name Lathyrus oleraceus (garden pea). RNAcentral describes it as "Pisum sativum (pea) long non-coding RNA (PSAT_LNC028603)". Lineage: Eukaryota; Viridiplantae; Streptophyta; Magnoliopsida; Fabales; Fabaceae. The record is from RNAcentral.